UACAGAGGGUGCGAGCGUUGUCCGGAAUCACUGGGCGUAAAGGGUGCGUAGGCGGGUUAUUAAGUCAGAGGUGAAAUCCUGGAGCUCAACUCCAGAACUGCCUUUGAUACUGAUAGUCUUGAGUAUGGGAGAGGUGAGUGGAACUGCGAGUGUAGAGGUGAAAUUCGUAGAUAUUCGCAAGAACACCAGUGUCGAAGGCGGACUCACUGGCCCAUUACUGACGCUGAGGCACGAAAGCGUGGGGAGCAAACAGGG
This 255-nucleotide ribosomal RNA is filed under the name uncultured bacterium. RNAcentral's name for it is "partial 16S ribosomal RNA". It matches the Rfam family "Bacterial small subunit ribosomal RNA", at positions 524 to 777 of the family's 1533-position model. The record is from RNAcentral.